CUGGAGAAGGGCUACGACAUGGAGGUCGGUGAGGGGGGCGGCCUGCUGUCCAAGAGCAAGCGGCAACGCGUGGCCAUCGCCCGAGCGCUGGUCAGACGGCCGCGGGUCCUCAUCCUGGACGAAGUCACCAGCUCCCUGGAUGAGCCCAGCGAAGGCAAGGUCCUGCAGGGUCUGUUGAGGCGUUCUGAGUGAAACGUGCUGCUGAUCACUCACAGACUGAAGACACCCGAGACGAUCGACCAGAUUGCGGUGAUCGGCGGCGGUGGCGUUCGGGAGCGAGGAACCCACCAGACCAGAAGGGAAUCUACUGUAAAAUGGCAGGGGGGCGGGACGCGAGCGUGGACGCCGGUCUCGGUUGGCCGCCGCGUGAUCAGAAGCGCUGAAUUGGAGUCCUGCAUUCGAUCCAUGAAACGGCAUUCGCCGAUUCCCAACCCUCGAGUCUCUUCAUUUCGUCGUCUCUCUCGUCUGAAGGUCUUUCAGAAUGAGAUGAUUUGGGCUCAAUCACAUUCGAGUCUCCACCUGCUGCCACGUCAAUCCAAUCUUCCUUCCGAAGCAACCGAAUGUCAUGUCCAAAUUCCUCCUCAGAGGGCCAGCGCACCGGCCCUCGAUUCUUCUGUGCUCUCUUCGGUCACUGCAAAAGCCGCUCUCGCCACUUGGGACUUGCAAAAUACGUCUGUAGCCAAACUUGUCAAAGCUACGCCGAGUAGAAUGUACAGUAUUUCAUUGCCAUUUGAUGAUUCGUGUCAUUCGACAAAUACUGAGUCUGAACCGCUCCCAUUGAUGUAGAACUCGUGUGGCAUUUUGACCUGGUUUCUAUAAAUUUGCCGAGAGAGCGGUUGAGGUGAA
Hippocampus comes (tiger tail seahorse) is the source of this 846-nucleotide long non-coding RNA. RefSeq lists it as uncharacterized. The transcript has 3 exons. Lineage: Eukaryota; Metazoa; Chordata; Actinopteri; Syngnathiformes; Syngnathidae. The record is from RefSeq and is a predicted model, not a curated record.